UGGUUUAUAACAUUGGUAGUCACAUGAAAAUUUAUCCGAAAAUAAGGAGAUGUGUGAAGUCAAAGAAGAAGAACAAUACAAAGGAUACAUUGAGCUUAUAUAAGCAUUUGAAGGCAGGCUUUUUGGGGAACGCAGUAAUUUCAAAAUUUUCCUACGAUCAUGCAAGAUCUAUCUAGGUGAUGCAUAGCAACGAGCGGGAGAGUGUGUGCACGUACCCUCGUAGACCGAAAGAGGAAGCGUUUUAUCAACGCGGUUGAUGUAGUCGUACGUCUUCACGAUCCGACCGAUCUCAGCACCGAACGUACGGCACCUCCGUGUUCAGCACACGUUCAGCUCGAUGACAUACCUCGUACUCUUGAUCUAGUUGAGGCCGAGGGAGAGUUCCGUCAGCACGACGGCGUGGCAACGGUGAUGAUGAAGUUACCGGCGCAGGGUUUCGCCUAAGCACAUCAACGAUAUGACCGAGGUGUGUAACUGUGGAGGGGGCACCGCACACGGCUAAGACAAAUCUUGGAGUGCCUUUGGGGUGCCCCCUGCCCACGUAUAUAAAGGAGGGAGGAAGAGGAGGCCGGCACUAGAGGGGGCGCACCAAGGGGGGGAGUCCUACUUGGACUCCCAGUCCAAGUAGGAUUUGAUCCCCCCUUUCCUAUUCCAACUAGGAGAAGGAAGGGAAGGAGGAAGAGGGGAGAAGGAAGGAGGGGGGCGCCGGCCCCUCCUAGUCCAAUUCGGACCAGCCCAUGGGGGGCACGUGCUACCUCUUGAGCACUGCGUUGGUUUUCCUUUGAAGAGAAAAGGGUGAUGCAGUAAAGCAGCGUAAGUAUUUCCCUCAAUUUUUGAGAACCAAGGUAUCAAUCCAGUAGGAGGCCACGCAUGAGUCCCUCGCACCUACACAAGCAAAUAAAAUCCUCGCAACCAACGCAAUAAAGGGGUUGUCAAUCCCUUCACGGUCACUUACGAAAGUGAGAUCUGAUAGAUAUGAUAAGAUAAUGUUUUUGGUAUUUUUAUGAUAAAGAUGCAAAGUAAAAUAAAAGGCAAUAAAAAUAUCUAAGUGUUGAAAGAUUAAUAUGAUGGAAAAUAGACCCGGGGGCCAUAGGUUUCACUGGUGGCUUCUCUCGAGAGCAUAAGUAUUACGGUGGGUAAACAAAUUACUGUUGAGCAAUUGACAUAAUUGAGCAUAGUUAUGAGAAUAUCUAGGUAUGAUCAUGUAUAUAGGCAUCACGUCCGCGACAAGUAGACCGACUCCUGCCUGCAUCUACUACUAUUACUCCACACAUCGACCGCUAUCCAGCAUGCAUCUAGAGUAUUAAGUUCAAAAGAACAGAGUAACGCUUUAAGUAAGAUGACAUGAUGUAGAGGGAUAAACUCAUGCAAUAUGAUAUAAACCCCAUCUUGUUAUCCUCGAUGGCAACAAUACAAUACGUGCCUUGCUGCCCCUACUGUCACUGGGAAAGGACACCGCAAGAUUGAACCCAAAGCUAAGCACUUCUCCUAUUGCAAGAAAGAUCAAUCUAGUAGGCCAAACCAAACUGAUAAUUCAAAGAGACUUGCAAAGAUAACCAAUCAUACAUAAAAGAAUUCAGAGAAGAUUCAAAUAUUGUUCAUAGAUAAACUUGAUCAUAAACCCACAAUUCAUCGGUCUCAACAAACACACCACAAAAGAAGAUUACAUCAAAUAGAUCUCCACGAGAAUCGUGGAGAACUUUGUAUUGAGAUCCAAAGAGAGAGAAGAAGCCAUCUAGCUAAUAACUAUGGACCCGAAGGUCUGAGGUAAACUACUCACACAUCAUCGGAGAGGCUAUGGUGUUGAUGUAGAAGCCCUCCGUGAUCAAUGCCCCCUCCGGCGGAGCUCCGAAAAAGGCCCCAAGAUGGGAUCUCACGGGUAGAGAAGGUUGCGGCGGUGGAAUUAGGUUUUUGGCUCCGUGUCUGGUAGUUUGGGGGUACGUAGGUAUAUAUAGGAGGAAGAAGUACGUCGGUGGAGCAACAUGGGCCCCACGAGGGUGGAGGGCGCGCCCAGGGGGUAGGCGCGCCCCCUACCUCGUGCCCUCCUGGUUGCUUUCUUGACGUAGGGUCCAAGUCCUCCGGAUCACGUUCGUUCCAAAAAUCACGUUCCCAAAGGUUUCAUUCCGUUUGGACUCCGUUUGAUAUUCUUUUUCUACGGAACUCUGAAAUAGGCAAAAAACAGCAAUUCUGGGCUGGGCUUCCGGUUAAUAGGUUAGUCCCAAAAAUAAUAUAAAAGUGUAUAAUAAAUCCCAUUAAUGUCCAAAACAGAAUAUAAUAUAGCAUGGAACAAUCAAAAAUUAUAGAUACGUCGGAGACGCAUCAAGCAUCCCCAAGCUUAAUUCCUGCUCGUCCUCGAGUAGGUAAAUGAUAAAAACAGAAUUUUUGAUGUGGAAUGCUACUUGCCAUAAUUUCAAUGUAAUUCUCUUAAUUGUGGUAUGAAUAUUCAUAUCCGAAAGAUUCAAGACAAAAGUUGAAUAUUGACACAAAAAUAAUAAUACUUCAAGCAUACUAACUAAGCAAUUAUGUCUUCUCAAAAUAACAUGGCCAAAGAAAGUUAUCCCUACAAAAUAUAGUCUGGCUAUGCUCUAUCUUCACCACACAAAGUAUUUAAAUCAUGCACAACCCCGAUGACAAGCCAAGCAAUUGUUUCAUACUUUUGAUGUUCUCAAACUUUUUCAAUCUUCACGCAAUACAUGAGCGUGAGCCAUGGACAUAGCACUAUAUGUGGAAUAGAAUGGUGGUUGUGGAAAAGAUAAAAAAAGGAGAAGAUAGUCUCACAUCAACUAGGCGUAUCAACGGGCUAUGGAGAUGCCCAUUAAUAGAUAUCAAUGUGAGUGAGUAGGGAUUGCCAUGCAACGGAUGCACUAGAGCUAUAAGUAUAUGAAAGCUCAACAAAAGAAACUAAGUGGGUGUGCAUCCAACUCGCUUGCUCACGAAGACCUAGGGCACUUUGAGGAAGCCCAUCAUUGGAAUAUACAAGCCAAGUUCUAUAAUGAAAAAUUUCCCACUAGUAUAUGAAAGUGAUAUCAUAGGAGACUCUCUAUCAUGAAAAUCAUGGUGCUACUUUGAAGCACAAGUGUGGUAAAAGGAUAGUAACAUUGUCCCUUCUCUCUUUUUCUCUCAUUUUUUUAUUUGGGCCUUUUCUCUUUUUUAUGGCCUCUUUUUUUUAGUCCGGAGUCUCAUCCUGACUUGUGGGGGAAUCAUAGUCUCCAUCAUCCUUUCCUCACUUGGGACAAUGCUCUAAAAAUGAUGAUCAUCACACUUUUAUUUACUUACAACUCAACAAUUACAACUCAAUACUUAGAACAAAAUAUGACUCUAUGUGAAUGCCUCCGGCGGUGUACCGGGAUAUGCAAUGAAUCAAGAGUGACAUGUAUGAAAGAAUUAUGAACGGUGGCUUUGCCACAAAUACAAUGUCAACUACAUGAUCAUGCAAAGCAAUAUGACAAUGAUGGAGCGUGUCAUAAUAAACGGAACGGUGGUAAGUUGCAUGGCAAUAUAUCUCGGAAUGGCUAUGGAAAUGCCAUGAUAGGUAGGUAUGGUGGCUGUUUUGAGGAAAGUAUAUGGUGGGUGUAUGAUACUGGUGAAAAGUGCGCGGUAUUAGAGAGGCUAGCAAUGGUGGAAGAAAGAAAGUGCGUAUAAUCCAUGGACUCAACAUUAGUCAUAAAGAACUCAUAUACUUAUUGCAAAAAUCUACAAGUUAUCGAAGCAAAGUAUUACGCGCAUGCUCCUAUGGGGGAUAGAUUGGUAGGAAAAGAACAUCGCUCGUCCCCGACCGCCACUCAUAAGGAAGACAAACAAUAAAUAAAUCAUGCUCCGGCUUCAUCACAUAACGGUUCACCAUGCGUGCAUGCUACGGGAAUCACAAACUUUAACACAAGUAUUUCUCAAAUUCAAAACUACUCAACUAGCAUGACUCUAAUAUCACCAUCUUCAUAUCUCAAAACAAUUAUCUAGUAUCAAACUUCUCAUAGUAUUCAACACACUCAUAAGGUUUUUUUUACUAAUCUUGAAUGCCUAUCAUAAUUAAAGCAAAUUACCACGCUGUUUUGUAGGACUCUCAAAAUAAUCUAAGUGAAGCAUGAGAGAACAAUAGUUUCUAUAAAACAAAUCCACCACCGUGCUCUAAAAUAUAUAAGUGAAGCACUAGAGAAAAAAUUAUAUAACUCAAAAGAUAUAAGUGAAGCACAUAGAGUAUUCUAACAAUUUUCGAAUCAUGUGUGUCUCUCUCAAAAGGUGUGUACAGCAAGGAUGAUUGUGGCAAACUAACAAAUAAUACUCAAAUAAUACAAGACGCUCCAAGCAAAACACAUAUCAUGUGGUGAAUAAAAAUAUAGUUCCAAGUAAAGUUACCGAUGGAAGUAGACGAAAGAGGGGAUGCCUUCCGGGGCAUCCCCAAGCUUUGGCUUUUAGGUGUCCUUAGAUUAUCUUGGGGUGCCAUCGGCAUCCCCAAGCUUAGGCUCUUGCCACUCCUUGUUCCAUAAUCCAUCAAAUCUUUUACCCAAAACUUGAAAACUUCACAACACAAAACUUAACAGAAAAUCUCGUGAGCUCCGUUAGCGAAAGAAAAGAAAACACCACUUCAAGGUACUGUAAUGAACUCAUUCUUUAUUUAUAUUGGUGUUAAACCUACUGUAUUCUAACUUCUCUAUGGUUUAUAAAAUAUUUUACUAGCCAUAGAUUCAUCAAAAUAAGCAAACAACACACGAAAAACAGAAUCUGUCAAAAACAGAACAGUCUGUAGUAAUCUGUAACUAACGCAAACUUUGGAACUCCAAAAAUUCAGGAAAAAUAGGAAGACAUAGACAAUUUGUUUAUUGAUCAGCAGCAAUUGGAAUCAAUAUUUUAUCACGUUAUGGUGAUUUUUAACAAUUAUUUUCGUGAACAGAAAGUUUCUGGAAUUUUCAGCAAGAUCAAAUAACUAUCAUCGAAGAAGAUCCUAUAGGUUAAACUUGGCACAAACACUAAUUAAAACAUAAAAACACAUCUAACCAGAGGCUAGAUCAAAUAUUUAUUCCUAAACAGAAGAAAAAAGAAAAAAAACUAAAAAUAAAAUUGGGUUGCCUCCCAACAAGCGCUAUCGUUUAACGCCCCUAGCUAGGCAUAAUAGCAGGGAUAGAUCUAGGUAUUGCCAUCUUUGGUUUUAAGGAAGAAAAGAGCAAACUUGUUAUCUAUAGAAUUAAUAUUUAUAUUUUGAUAAAGCACAUGGCUAUAUUUAUGGUAGAAGAAAGAUGAAGGACGUUGCGGAAAUUUGCAUCUAGGCUAGCUUUUAUCUCUCUAAUAGAUUCGUUUUGGUAGGAAAGCAAAAGAGAUGUAGAUUCAACUUUCUCAUUCAUGGGGUGCCCGAAUAUGGUUUUCAUCUUUUCAUAAGUAUCUACAGCAUCCCCUUCAAGAAAGCCUUCUUCAAAUAUAGAAUCUAAGACAUGCUUAAAUGAAGAAGGUAGGGCAACAUAAAAGCUUUUUAAGUAAAUUUCAAUUUGGUAUCGGGGUACAUAGUUAGCCCCGGAUCCUUAACAGUCUAUCCCAAGCAUCUUUCAAAGAUUCAUCGAGUAAAUAACGAAAAAUUCCGGAAUCAUCUUCAUCAAAAUUAUUAGGACUCUCAUUGACAACUCCGGCAGGUUUUUCCAUAGCAUUAUUUAUGAGUUUAGAUAGAAUAGAAGGAUCGUCCAGAGCACUAAAGCUCGGGAGAGAACCCCCAACUCUUUUUGGUUCCGACAUGGCAAAGGAAAGGCGAGCGGAAAAGAGAGGGCGAAUAAAAUGGCAAGGGUGAAGUGGGGGAGAGGAAAACGAGAGGCAAAUGGCAAAUAAUGUAAUACGGGAGAUAAGGGUUUGUGAUGGGUACUUGGUAUGUUGACUUUUGCGUAGACUCCCCGGCAACGGCGCCAGAAAUCCUUCUUGCUACCUCUUGAGCACUGCGUUGGUUUUCCCUUGAAGAGGAAAGGGUGAUGCAGUAAAGCAGCGUAAGUAUUUCCCUCAGUUUUCGAGAACCAAGGUAUCAAUCCAGUAGGAGGCCACGCACGAGUCCCUCGCACCUACACAAACAAAUAAAAUCCUCGCAACCAACACAAUAAAGGGGUUGUCAAUCCCUUCACGGUCACUUACGAAAGUGAGAUCUGAUAGAUAUGAUAAGAUAAUAUUUUUGGUAUUUUUUUGAUAAAGAUGCAAAGUAAAAUAAAAGGCGAUAAAAAUAGCUAAGUGUUGGAAGAUUAAUAUGAUGGAAAAUAGACCCGGGGGCCAUAGGUUUCACUAGUGGCUUCUCUCGAGAGCAUAAGUAUUACGGUGGGUAAACAAAUUACCGUUGAGCAAUUGACAUAAUUGAGCAUAGUUAUGAGAAUAUCUAGGUAUGAUCAUGUAUAUAGGCAUCACGUCUGCGACAAGUAGACUGACUCCUGCCUGCAUCUACUACUAUUACUCCACACAUCGACCGCUAUCCAGCAUGCAUCUAGAGUAUUAAGUUCAAAAGAACAGAGUAACGCUUUAAGUAAGAUGACAUGAUGUAGAGGGAUAAACUCAUGCAAUAUGACAUAAACCCCAUCUUGUUAUCCUCGAUGGCAACAAUACAAUACGUGCCUUGUUGCCCCUACUGUCACCGGGAAAGGACACCGCAAGAUUGAACCCAAAUCUAAGCACUUCUCCCAUUGCAAGAAAGAUCAAUCUAGUAGGCCAAACCAAACUGAUAAUUCGAAGAGACUUGCAAAGAUAACCAAUCAUACACAAAAGAAUUCAAAGAAGAUUCAAAGAUUGUUCAUAGAUAAACUUGUUCAUAAACCCACAAUUCAUCGGUCUCAACAAACACACUGCAAAAGAAGAUUACAUCGAAUAGAUCUCCACGAGAAUCGUGGAGAACUUUGUAUUGAGACCCAAAGAGAGAGAGAAGAAGCCAUCUAGCUAAUAACUAUGGACCCGAAGGUCUGAGGUAAACUACUCACACAUCAUCGGAGAGGCUAUGGUGUUGAUGUAGAAGCCCUCCGUGAUCAAUGCCCCCUCCGACAGAGCUCCGGAAAAGGCCCCAAGAUGGGAUCUCACGGGUACAGAAGGUUGCGGCGGUGGAAUUAGGUUUUUCGCUCCGUAUCUGGUAGUUUGGGGGUACGUAGGUAUAUAUAGGAGGAAGAAGUACAUCGGUGGAGCAACGUGGGCCCCACGAGGGUGGAGGGUGCGCCCAGGGGGGGUAGGCGCGCCCCCCUACCUCGUGCCCUCCUGGUUGCUUUCUUGACGUAGGGUCCCAGUCCUCUAGAUCACGUUCGUUCCAAAAAUCACGUUCCCGAAGGUUUCAUUCCGUUUGGACUCCGUUUGAUAUUCUUUUUCUGCGAAACUCUGAAAUAGGCAAAAAAACAGCAAUUCUGGGCUGGGCCUCCGGUUAAUAGGUUAGUCCCAAAAAUAAUAUAAAAGUGUAUAAUAAAGCCCAUUAAUCUCCAAAACAGAAUAUAAUAUAGCACGGAACAAUCAAAAAUUAUAGAUACGUUGGAGACGUAUCAGCGCGCGGCCACCCCUUGAGGCCCUUCUCUCCUUUCCCGUAUGGCCCAUUAAGGCCCACUACUUCCCCCGGCGAAUUCUCGUAACUCUCCGGUACGACGAAAAAUACCCGAAUCACUCAGAACCUUUCCGAUGUCCGAAUAUAGCCUUCCAAUAUAUCGAUCUUUACCUCUCGACCAUUUCGAGACUCGUCGUCAUGUCCGUGAUCUCAUCGGGGACUCCGAACAAACUUCGGUCAUCAAAUCACAUAACUCAUAAUACAAAUCGUCAUCGAACGUUAAGCGUGCAGACCCUAAGGGUUCGAGAACUAUGUAGACAUGACCGAGACACAUCUCCGGUCAAUAACCAAUAGCGGAACCUGGAUGCUCAUAUUGGCUCCUACAUAUUCUACAAAGAUCUUUAUCGGUCAAACCGCAUAACAACAUACGUUGUUCCAUUUGUCAUCGGUAUGUUACUUGCCCGAGAUUCGAUCAUCGGUAUCACCAUACCUAGUUCAAUACCAUUACCGGCAAGUCUCUUUACUCUUUUCGUAAUGCAUCAUCCCGCAACUACCCCAUUAGUCAUAUUGCUUGCAAGGCUUAUAGUGAUGUGCAUUACCGAGAGGGCCCAGAGAUACCUCUCCGAAACACGGAGUGACAAAUCCUAAUCUCGAUCUAUGCCAACCCAACAAAUAUCUUCGGAGACACCUAUAGAGCAUCUUUAUAAUCACCCAUUUAGGUUGUGAAGUUUGAUAGCACACAAAGUGUUCCUCCGAUAUUCGGGAGUUGCAUAAUCUCAUAGUCUGAGGAACAUGUAUAAGUCAUGAAGAAAGCAGUAGCAAUGAAACUGUAACGAUCAUAAUGCUAAGCUAACGAAUGGGUCUUGUCCAUCACAUCAUUCUCCUAAUGAUGUGAUCCCGUUCAUCAAAUGACAACACAUGUCUAUGGUUAGGAAACAUAACCAUCUUUGAUAAAUGAGCUAGUCGAGUAGAGGCAUACUAGGGACACUUUGUUUUGUCUAUGUAUUCACACAUGCACUAAGUUUCCGGUUAAUACAAUUCUAGCAUGAAUAAUAAACAUUUAUCAUGAUAUAAGGGAAUAAAUGAUAACUUUAUUAUUGCCUCUAGGGCAUAUUUCCUUCAGUCUCCCUCUUGCACUAGAGUCAAUAAUCUAGUUCACAUCACCAUGUGAUUUAACACCAAUAGUUCACAUCACCAUGUGAUUAACACCCAUAGUUCACAUCGUCAUGUGACCAACAACCAAAGGGUUUACUAGAGUCAAUAAUCUAGUUCACAUCGCUAUGUGAUUAACACCCAAUAAGUACUAAGGUGUGAUCAUGUUUUGCUUGUGAGAGAAGUUUAGUCUACGGGUCUGCAACAUUCAGAUCCGUAUGUAUUUUGCAAAUUUCUAUGUCUACAAUACUAUGCACGGUGCUACUCUAGCUAAUUGCUCCCACUUUCAAUAUGUAUCUAGAUCGAGACUUAGAGUCAUCCAGAUCGGUGUCAAAGCUUGCAUCGACGCAACUCUUUAUGACGAACUCUUUGUCACCUCCAUAACCGAGAAACAUAUCCUUAUUCUACUCAGGAUAAUUUUGACCGUUGUCUAGUGAUCCACUCCUGGAUCACUAUUGUACCCUCUUGCCAAACUCAUGGUGAGGUACACAAUAGGCCUGGUACACAGCAUAGCUAUAGAACCUAUGACUGAGGCAUAGGGAAUGAAUUUUCAUUCUCUCUCUAUCUUUUGCCGUGGUCGAGCUUUGAGUCUUACACAACUUCACACCUUGCAACACAGGCAAGAACUCCUUCUUUGACUGUUCCAUUUUGAACUACUUCAAAAACUUGUCAAGGUAUGUACUCAUUGAAAGAACUUAUCAAGCGUCUUGAUCUAUCUCUAUAGAUUUUGAUGCUCAAUAUGUAAGCAGCUUCACCGAGGCCUUUCUUUGAAAAACUCCUUUCAAACACUCCUUUAUGCUUUCCAGAAAAUUCUACAUCAUUUCCGAUCAACAAUAUGUCAUUCACAUAUACUUAUCAGAAAGGCUGUAGUGCUCCCACUCACUUUCUUGUAAAUAAUGGCUUCACCGCAAGUCUGUAUAAAACUAUAUGCUUUGAUCAACUCGUCAAAGCGUAUAUUCCAACUCCGAGAUGCUUGCACCAAUCCAUAGAUGGAUCGCUUGAGCUUUGCACACUUUUUAGCACCUUUAGGAUUGACAAAACCUUCUAGUUGCAUCAUAUACAACUCUUCCUUAAGAAAUCCAUUAAGGAAUGUAGUUUUGAUAUCCAUUUGCCAGAUUUCAUAAAAUGCAACAAUUGCUAACAUGAUUCGGACAGACUUAAGCAUCGCUACGAGUGACAAAAUCUCAUCGUAGUCAACACCUUGAACUUGUCAAAAACCUUUUUUGACAUCUAGCUUUGUAGAUAGUAACACUACUAUCAGCGUCCGUCUUCCUCUUGAAGAUCCAUUUAUUUUCUAUUGCUUGCCGAUCAUCGGGCAAGUCAACCAAAGUCCAUACUUUGUUCUCAUACAUGGAUCCCAUCUCAGAUUUCAUGGCCUCAAGCCAUUUCGCGAAAUCUGGGCUCAUCAUCUCUUCCUCAUAGUUCGUAGGUUCGUCAUGGUCAAGUAACAUGACCUCCAGAACAGGAUUACCGUACCACUCUAGUGUAGAUCUUACUCUGGUUGACCUACGAGGUUCAGUAGUAACUUGAUCUGAAGUUUCAUGAUCAUCAUCAUUAGCUUCCUCACUAAUUGGUGUAGGAAUCACAUGAACUGAUUUCUGUAAAGAACUACCACUACUAGGGAAAACCCUAGUAGUAGCGCGGGUUUAAUGCCCACUAGUAGCGCGGGCUGCCGCGCUACUAAGGCGCUACAGCUAUUACUUAGCAGUAGUGCGUGCGACAAGCGCUACUGCUAAGACACAUAGCGGCAACGCUUGUUCUAUCCCGCGCUGCUGCUAAUCUAGCUAGUUGCAGCGUGUUUACUAUCCAUCGCUACUUGUAUUCUUUUUUUCAUUUUUAGUGUAUUUAUACGCCGUUAUACAAAUUUUGGUACAAUACCAAGUAUGAGGUUUAUAUCAUUAUGUCCAUAACAGUGUGUCAAAUGAAGGUGGAUUAGGUUCAAGUGGAGGCAAUAUGUGGUGCAUGUCAAAAGUAUACUACUAAUCCAAACUUGAUCUAGUUUGGACUAGUAGUACUUUCGAUGUGCACCACAUGUUGCCUCCACUUGAAUCUAAUCCGCCAGCACAAGCUAUUUAAUCAUCAUCAUCGUCAUUACCACCAACAGUAUUUAUUUAAUCACCAUAGUCAUAGUGUAGCACAUCAUCAUCUUCAAACUCAUUCUAGCUAGCUAAUCACCACCAACACUAGAUGUGGUAGCUAUCUAAUCACCACCAACACUAGCUAAUAAUAAUCAUCAUAGUCAUUACCACCAACACUAGCUAUUUAAUCAUCAUAGUCAUAGUGUAGCACAUCAUCAUCUUCCAACUCAUUUCUAGCUAGCUAAUCACUCCUGCUGCUCUCUCUCUCUCAGGUAAAAUAACAUAAAACAUGUGUAGCUCUCCUCCUUCAUCAAGUUGGAGCAUGCAGAUGAACCUGUCUCCUAAUCGUGGGAUGCGCUUCUGAUUGCUGCCCCCUAGUACUUCUAUGCACUCCUCCAUCACAAAUUUGGUCCAGUCUUUCACUAUUAAGCAUUCGUCGCUUUUAGAAAUCCUGAAUGCACUAAAGUGCAUUGUAGGAUAUCUUGGCCGUAAGCUAACAAUACUCAUGGUACCUUGAGUCUCGAUCCCAUGAGGCACAACAUUCAUCGGGAGUCCCUGUUGAAGAACAUCGUAUAGUAACAUACUUAGCAAUGAAGUUUAGCUUAAAAAAUAAUGUAUGCAAAAGAUGCACUGAGGACAAAUAGUAAAAAUCUUACCAUCUUUCCUAAAUAGAUGUGACCGUAGUUCAUUACGAACACUAUUGGUCACACGUUUUCAGUACUAACAUUUCUAAGUGCAGGAAGAAAAUUUGUCUUGACAGUAUCAAGAUCCUCAAGCCAUGAAACAUAAUGACUUAGCUCCUCGCAGUUUCGUUCAGCCCUGGGAUAGUAGUAGGUCUGUAUACCAAGCGCUGGACAUGUUUGCUUGAACGGAAAUAAGCUGACAAUAGAAAUUAGUUGUCAACUAUUCUUGAAUAAACAAUAUCAAAGACAUAAAUAUGGUUGAGAAACUCACAUAAUGGUAUAACUAGAGGCGUCUGCACAUCGACCCAGAUGUCGGUAUUACCUUCAAUAUCAUCUUCCGGACGAAUAUCAAAGGUGAUAACCAUAUCAGGCUCAAAUGCAUAAGUCUUGCAUAGUGCUCGCCAAGUUUUGCGUCCAAAAUAGGUUUAGUCGUCUGCGUUGUAUAAUUUGGCGUGGAAAAUAUAACCAUGCUCAGUCUUCAAGUAAACUUUCUUUACCUCCAUAGUACGAUUGAAACCUAUCUUAUCCAAGACAAAAACUCUUGCAUGGCAGGGGAUACGCUAGUAGAAUAGUAAAAAAAAUUAAAUUAUAAGUUGAAGCAAAUGAAGCAGAUGUCAUGCUUAAUUACGAAAAAAGACUUGUCGUUGUGACUUACUGUAUCCACUUCGAAGUUCACGUCCAGCUUGAUGCUAAAGCGCCUAUCAUCAUCUAGGAAGAUUCCGUCGCACAAGCCGCGCUCGUCUUCGCAGUAUUUGCAAAUACCGAAAUCCUUUUCGUUGUCAGACAUUUCCUAUGUUCAUAGUUGAAACAUUAAUUGAAAAUCGAUCGAAGACAACUAGCAGGAUACUCAAAAUAUCUUAUAGGACUCAUAUUGACAUGAGCAUUCAAUAAGCAAAACCAAAUCGUAAAAUAAAUAAGUAUUCAAAUUAGCAUGCAUUCAAUAAGCAAAAGUACAUCAUCUCAUGCAUCCGUACAUCAUCGAAUAUUAUCACUAAUACAUCCCGAAUAGUAUCAUACAUAUAACAUCACUAAUACAACUAAAACCCUAGCGCACGACGGGUAUCGGCGCGGGCGGUGGACACCCAAAGAGAAGGAACCAUCACAGGAUCAUAGCUCCAGUGAGAUCCCUGGAGAACCUGCCAGGUAUUGGAGAACCUGUGCUCCAACGCAAACAAGUAGCGACGGACGUGCGCGUCCUGCUCACUGACACGAUGACGCACCACCUCUGCGGGGUCCUCGAGCUUGUGGACCGUCACUGGCCCACGCGACCGCCACCAAAGAAGGUUCGGGUCAACGACAGGCUGGCUCCUCACCAACCUGCACCCCCUGGUAGGUAGCGCCUCCUAGUCCCACCCCGGCGGAGCCCAGUCCCGGACAAGGCCCAUCUGGUGACGCAGGUGUCCUCCGCCGACUCGACAACGAGGAUGCGGGAUAGGCAUCGUCGACGUCGAUGCGCGAAAAAUUGCUUUAACUAAAAAAAUAACAACAAAUGUGACAUGUUCAACUAGUUCUAUUAAUUCAACUAGUUCUUAUGAUUAAAUCUAGUCAAUUAAUUCUAUACCUAAUAAAAUGAAUAAUGACAUAAAAAAGGCCUAUGCUUUGCAGGAAUGUUGACUCCUUCCCAGGGCGGCAAAUACCGGGCACUCGAUAUGUCCUAGUUUGUAGCACAAGUCAUGCCGAAAUUCACAGAAACUUUCGGCAUGACUUUUACUAAAAAGUGGACAAAUCGAGAACAGAAAUUUGCCGGAACGGAAAUGAAUCAACAUUCCGGCAAAACAUAGGCCACUCGACUUCAUUCCCUGGAAACAACAAAGCCACUUGGGCACAAUCGAACCACUUCAAUAAUGGAAUAUGCAAAUGAACAUCAAUGACAUAUAUCAUAUAACAACAAUCUUGUUUUUUGUUUACAUAGCAACAAUUAGUUUAACCAAGUUUUUGAAAGAAAAACAAUUCUGUUUUUUGUUUUUUGAAUGAAAUUACUAUUUAGGCAUUUUCAUAAAAAUUUGCCCUAGCUAAUUUCCUAAAAAAAUUGCUAAUCAUUUUUCCUAAAUGCUAAAAAAUGCCUACUGCCCUAAACAAAUCUAGGGUUCAUAUGAACAUCAACACAGCAUCAACACAUAUAUGAAUUGCCCUAGCAGAGAGAGAGGAGGGUAGGGGAGAGGAGAGGCAGAGCCUUACGGUGGCUGCGGCGAGGGAGGGGCAUGCGGUGUCGAGGACGGGGUCGAGGCUCGGGCACGCGGCGGAGGGCGGAGUCGAUGUCGGGGUCGGGGCGGCGUCGAGGUCGGGGUCGGGGGCGGCCUCAAGGGUGUGCCGCGGGCGGCGGCGGCGGUGAGGUUGAGGGCAGCGGCGGGCGGCGGCGGUGAGGUCGAGAGCAGCAGGGCGACGGUGGCGAUGGAGCAGUUGAGGGAGAGGGGGAAGUGGAGGGGAAGGACUUAGCGAAAUUUUGAGCCCGCGCGGCCGGGGGUUAAGUCAAACUAGCAGCAGCGCGUUUUUUCCGGAAUGCGCUAUAGCUAAGUUAGCUAUAGCGUGUCAAGCGAAACGCACUACAGCUAUUCCUUUCUGUUUUAUAAUAUCAGUAGCGCUUUGCCAUGAAAAAACGCUAUUGCUAAGUCUAAGCAUGUAAAAACUUCAAAAAUAUACAUUGGUUAUCAUUGAUCUUUUUGUGUAGAAUCUAAAUAGUCAACAUGAAUCCUCACAGUACCUGUAUAGGCACUAGUGAAGAUUCAUAUUGUAGCCACAAAUCCUACACAUAUAGUUCAAUGAAGACCAAGUGCUCGAGAUAGUUUGAGAAGUAACAUAUUUAAGGUGGUAAACACCUUGUUCGCUUAGCAGUAUGGGACUAAACUUAAUUAGGUGCAAUACUUAGCAGUAGCGUGUUUUGAAGAAAAACGUUGCUACUAAAUACUUUAGCAGUAGCACGUCCUAUGAAGGGCGCUACUACUAUAUCUAGCCUGGGGGCAACGCCGUGGCAAUUAUAGUAGUAGCGCUUGUUUCACCUACACCGCUGCUGCUACCGUGCUAUUAGUAGCGCGGUUUUACGGAGCUCGCUACUGCUAAUUAGCAGUAGCGUCUCUUUUUAAACCGCGCUGCUGCUAAGAUUUUGUGUAUAAGGUUUUCCCUAGUAGUGUACUUUCCAAUUCGGGAGCAGGUACAAUUACCUCAUCAAGUUCUACUUUCCUCCCACUCACUUCUUUCGAGAGAAACUCCUUCUCUGGAAAGGAUCCAUUCUUAGCAACAAAUAUCUUGCCUUCGGAUCUGUGAUAGAAGGUGUACCCAACAGUUUCCUUUGGGUAUCCUAUGAAGACAUAUUUCUCCGAUUUGGGUUCGAGCUUAUCAGGUUGAAACUUUUUCACAUAAGCAUCGCAACCCCAAACUUUAAGAAACGACAGCUUAGGUUCUUUGCCAAACCAUAGUUCAUACGGUGUCAUCUCAACGGAUUAGACGGUGCCCUAUUUAACGUGAAUGUAGCUGUUUCUAAUGCAUAACCCCAAAACGAUAGUGGUAAUCAGUAAGAGACAUCAUAGAUUGCACUAUAUCCAAUAAAGUACGGUUAUGACGUUCGGACACACCAUUAUGUUGUGGUGUUCCAGGUGGCAUGAGUUUGUGAAACUAUUCCACAUUGUUUUAAUUGAAGACCAAACUCGUAACUCAAAUAUUCGUCUCUGCGAUCAGAUCGUAGAAACUUUAUUUUCUUGUUAUGAUGAUUUUCCACUUCACUCUGAAAUUCUUUGAACUUUUCAAAUGUUUCAGACUUAUGUUUCAUCAAGUAGAUAUACCCAUAUCUUCUCAAAUCAUCUGUGAAUGUCAGAAAAUAAUGAUACCCAUCACGAGCCUCAACACUCAUCGGACCGCAUACAUCAGUAUGUAUUAUUUCCAAUAAGUCAGUUGCUCACUCCAUUGUUCCGGAGAACGGAGUCUUAGUCAUCUUGCCCAUGAGGCAUGGUUCGCAAGCAUCAAGUGAUUCAUAAUCAAGUGAUUCCAAAAGCCCAUCAGCAUGGAGUUUCUUCAUGCGCUUUACACCAAUAUGACCUAAACGGCAGUGCCACAAAUAAGUUGCACUAUCAUUAUUAACUUUGCAUCUUUUGGCUUCAAUAUUAUGAAUAUGUGUAUCACCACGAUCGAGAUUCAAUAAACCAUUUAUAUUGAGUGUAUGACCAUAGAAGGUUUUAUUCAUGUAAAUAGAACAACAAUUAUUCUUUGACUUAAAUGAAUAGCCGUAUUGCAAUAAACAUGAUCCAAUCAUAUUCAUGCUCAACACAAACACCAAAUAACAUUUAUUUUAGGUUCAACACUAAUCCCGAAGGUAAAGGGAGUGUGCGAUGCAGAUCUUAUCAACCUUGGAAUCACUUCCAACACACAUCAUCACCUCGCUCUUAACUAGUCUUUGUUUAUUUUGCAACUCCUGUUUCAAGUUACUACUCUUAGAAACUGAACCAGUAUCAAAUACCGAGGGGUUGCUAUAAAUACUAGUAAAGUACACAUCAAUAACAUGUAUAUCCAAUAUACCUUUGUUCACUUUACCAUCCUUCUUAUCCGCCAAGUAUCUAGGGCAGUUCCACUUCCAGUGACCAUUUCCUUUGCAGUAGAAGCACUCAGUUUCAGGCUUUGGUCUAGCUUUGGGCUUCUUCAUGGGAGUGACAACUUGCUUGUCAUUCUUAUUGAAGUUCCCUUUCUAUCCAUUUGCCCUUUUCUUGAAACUAGUGGUCUUGUUAACAAUCAACACUUGAUGCUCUUUCUUGAUUUCUACCUUCACCGAUUUCGGCAUCGCGAAGAGCUCGGGAAUUACUUUCAUCAUCCCUUACAUAUUAUAGUUCAUCAUGAAGUUCUAGUAACUUGGUGAUAGUGACUAGAGAACUUUGUCAAUUACUAUCUUAUCUGGAAGAUUAACUCCCACUUGAUUCAAGCAAUUGUAGUACCCAGACAAUCUGAGCACAUGCUCAUUGGUUGAGCUAGUCUCCUCCAUCUUGUAGGAAAAGUACUGUCAGAGGUCUCAUACCUCUCGACACGGGCAUGAGUAUGAAAUACCAAUUUCAACUCUUGGAACAUCUUAUAUGCUCCGUGGCGUUCAAAACAUUUUUGAAGUCCCGGUUCUAAGACGUAAAGCAUGGUGCACUAAACUAUCAAGUAGUCAUCAUAUCGAGCUUGCCAAACGUUCAUAACGUCUGCGUCUGCUCCUGCAAUAGUUCUGUCACCUAGCGGUGCAUCAAGGACAUAAUUCUUAUGUGCAGCAAUGAGGAAAAUCCUCAGAUCACGGACCAAGUCCGCAGCAUUGCUACUAUCAUCUUUCAACUUAUUUUUCUCUAGGAACAUAUCAAAAAUAAACGGGGAGCUACAUCACGAGCUAUUGAUCUACAACACAGUUAUGCAAAAUACUAUCAGGUACUAAGUUCAUGAUAAAUUAAAGUUCAAUUAAUCAUAUUACUUAAGAACUCCCACUUAGAUAGACAUCCCUCUAAUCAUCUAAGUGAUCACGUGAUCCAUAUCAACUAAACCAUGUUCGAUCAUCACGUGAGAUGGAGUAUUUUUCAAUGGUGAACAUCACUAUGUUGAUCAUAUCUACUAUAUGAUUCACGCUCGACCUUUCGGUCUCAGUGUUCCGAGGCCAUAUCUGCAUAUGCUAGGCUCGUCAAGUUUAACCCGAGUAUUCUGCGUGUGCAAAACUGGCUUGCACCCGUUGUAUGUGAACGUAGAGCUUAUCACACCCGAUCAUCACGUGGUGUCUCGGCACGACGAACUGUCGCAACGGUGCAUACUCAGGGAGAACACUUGUACCUUGAAAUUUAGUGAGAGAUCAUCUUAUAAUGCUACCGCCGUACUAAGCAAAAUAAGAUGCAUAAAAAGAUAAACAUCACAUGCAAUCAAAUAAGUGAUAUGAUAUGGUCAUCAUCAUCUUGAGCCUUUGAUCUCCAUCUCCAAAGCACCAUUAUGAUCACCAUCAUCACCGGCUUGACACCUUGAUCUCCAUCGAAGCAUCUUUGUCGUCUCACCAACUAUUGCUGCUAAGACUAUCGCUACCGCUUAGUGAUAAAGUAAAGCAAUUACAUGGCGAUUGCAUUUCAUACAAUAAAGCGACAACCAUAUGGCUCCUGCCAGUUGCUGAUAACUGUUACAAAACAUGAUCAUCUCAUACAACAAUUUAUAUAUCAUCACGUCUUGACCAUAUCAUAUCACAGCAAGCCCUACAAAAACAAGUUAGACGUCCUCUACUUUGUUGCAAGUUUUACGUGUCUGCUACGGGCUUAGCAAGAACCGUUCUUACCUACGCAUCAAAAGCACAACGAUUUUUUGUCAAGUAUGCUGUUUUAACCUUCAACAAGGACCGGGCGUAGUCACACGAGAAACAGACACCCACUAGCCACCUGUGUGCGAAGCACGGUGGAAGAACCUGUCUCAUGAAUGCGGUCAUGUAAUGUCGGUCUGGGCCGCUUCAUCCAACAAUACCGCUGAAUAAAAGUACGACAUGAUGGUAAGAUGUAUGACUAUUAUCGCCCACAACUCUUUGUGUCCUACUCGUGCAUAUAACAUCUACGCAUAGACUUGGCUCGGAUGCCACUGUUGGGGAACGCAAUAAUUUCAAAAUUUUCCUAUGAUCACGCAAGAUCUAUCUAGGUGAUGCAUAGAAACGAGCGGGAGAGUGUGUGCACGUACCCUCGUAGACCAAAAGAGGAAUCGUUUUAUCAACGCGGUUGAUGUAGUCGUACGUCUUCACGAUCCGACCGAUCUCAGCACCGAACGUACGGCACCUCUGUGUUCAGCACACGUUCAGCUCGAUGACGUCCCUCUUACUCUUAAUCCAGUUGAGGCCGAGGGAGAGUUCCGUCAGCAUGAUGGCGUGGCGACGUUGAUGAUGAAGUUACCGGCGCAGGGCUUCGCCUAAGCACUACAACGAUAUGACUGAGGUGUGUAACUGUGGAGGGGGGCACCGCACACGGCUAAGACAAAUCUUGGAGUGCCUUUGGGGUUCCCCCUGCCCACGUAUAUAAAGGAGGGAGGAAGAGGAGGCCGGCCCUAGAGGGGGCGCGCCAAAGGGGGGAGUCCUACUUGGACUCCCGGUCCAAGUAGGAUUCGGCCCCCCUUUCCUAUUCAACUAGGAGAAGGAAGGGAAGGAGGAAGAGGGGAGAAGGAAGGAGGGGGGCCGCCCCCUCCUAGUCCAAUUCAGACCAGCCCAUGGGGGGCGCGCGGCGACCCCUUGAGGCCCUUCUCUCCUUUCCCGUAUGGCCCAUUAAGGCCCACUACUUCCCCCAGCGAAUUCUCGUAACUCUCCGGUACUCCGAAAAAUACCCGAAUCACUCGGAACCUUUCCGAUGUCUGAAUAUAGCCUUCCAAUAUAUCAAUCUUUACCUCUCGACCAUUUCGAGACUCCUCGUCAUGUCCGUGAUCUCAUCCAGGAUUCCGAACAAACUUCAGUCAUCAAAUCACAUAUCUCAUAUACAAAUCGUGAUCGAACGUUAAGCGUGCGGACCCUACGGGUUCGAGAACUAUGUAGACAUGACCGAGACACAUCUCCGGUCAAUAAACAAUAGCGGAACCUGGAUGCUCAUAUUGGCUCCUACAUAUUCUACGAAGAUCUUUAUCGGUCAAACCGCAUAACAACAUACGUUGUUUCCUUUGUCAUCAGUAUGUUACUUGGCCGAGAUUCGAUCAUCGGUAUCACCAUACCUAGUUCAAUCUCGUUACCGGCAAGUCUCUUUACUCGUUCCGUAAUGCAUCAUCCCGCAACUAACUCAUUAGUCACAUUGCUUGCAAGGCUUAUAGUGAUGUGCAUUACCGAGAGGGCCCAGAGAUACCUCUCCAGAACACGGAGUGACAAAUCCUAAUCUCGAUCUAUGCCAACCCAACAAAUAUCUUCGGAGACACCUAUAGAGCAUCUUUAUAAUCACCCAUUUACGUUGUAACGUUUGAUAGCACACAAAGUGUUCCUCUGAUAUUCGGGAGUUGCAUAAUCUCAUAGUCUGAGGAACAUGUAUAAGUCAUGAAGAAAGCAGUAGCAAUGAAACUAUAACAAUCAUAAUGCUAAGCUAACGAAUGGGUCUUGUCCAUCACAUCAUUCUCCUAAUGAUGUGAUCCUGUUCAUCAAAUGACAACACAUGUCUAUGGUUAGGAAACAUAACCAUCUUUGAUAAACGAGCUAGUCAAGUAGAGGCAUACUAGGGACACUUUGUUUUGUCUAUGUAUUCACACAUGUACUAAGUUUCCGGUUAAUACAAUUCUAGCAUGAAUAAUAAACAUUUAUCAUGAUAUAAGGAAAUAAAUAAUAACUUUAUUAUUGCCUCUAGGACAUAUUUCCUUCAAGGCUAUGUAGACAUAAUUCGACAUCUUCAAUACAAUAGUUCAUAGAUUCAGAUAAAGAUCGGAUAUGACACCACCAGUAAAUACAUAGUACAUGACUUAGUUGUCUCAUCUUGAUCUAUUCUUAUACGGUAGACAAAAGAUAGUACUCGGCGUAUAUAACGACCUUGAUCACGUCAUGCCUUCCUGUUGACUUUGACUUAAUCAAAUGUCUACAAAGAAGCAACAAAGAAC
RNAcentral lists this long non-coding RNA (19907 nucleotides) under Triticum aestivum (bread wheat). RNAcentral's name for it is "long non-coding RNA (TAES_LNC018318)". Lineage: Eukaryota; Viridiplantae; Streptophyta; Magnoliopsida; Poales; Poaceae. The record is from RNAcentral.